CGCAGCCGCGGUAAUUCCAGCUCCAAUAGCGUAUAUUAAAGUUGUUGCAGUUAAAAAGCUCGUAGUUGAAUUUCGAGAUCAAAUUGUUGGUCGUGCCUUGGUACGCACUGGCAUUAUUGGUUUCUCCCUUCUGACGAACCAUGAUGUCAUUAAUUUGGUGUCUUGGGGAAUCAGGACUGUUACUUUGAAAAAAUUAGAGUGUUUAAAGCAGGCUCACGCUUGAAUACAUUAGCAUGGAAUAAUGAAAUAGGACGUUUGAUUCUACUUUGUUGGUUUCUAGGAUCGACGUAAUGAUUAAUAGGGAUAGUUGGGGGCAUUAGUAUUCAAUUGUCAGAGGUGAAAUUCUUGGAUUUAUUGAAGACUAACUACUGCGAAAGCAUUUGCCAAGGAUGUUUUCAUUAAUCAAGAACGAAAGUUAGGGGAUCGAAGACGAUCAGGUACCGUCGUAGUCUUAACCAUAAACUAUGCCGACUAGGGAUCG
Molecule: ribosomal RNA, 481 nt
Filed under: uncultured Glomus
Lineage: Eukaryota; Fungi; Glomeromycota; Glomeromycetes; Glomerales; Glomeraceae
Description: SSU rRNA
Rfam family: Eukaryotic small subunit ribosomal RNA
Source: RNAcentral